GGAGAACGUGCCCUUAAGUGGAGGAUAAUCUCGGGAAAUUGAGGAUAAUACUCCAUAGAUCAUGGGAUCUGGAAUGACCCAUGGUUGAAAGUUCCGGCGCUUAAGGAUCGCUCUGCGGCUUAUCAGGUUGUAGUGGGUGUAACGUACCCCCUAGCCAGUGACGAGUAUGGGCCUUGAGAGAGGGAGCCCAGAGUUGGAUUCUGAGACACGAAUCCAGGCCCUACGGGGCGCAGCAGUCGCGAAAACUUCACACUGGGGGCAACCCCGAUGAGGGAAUUCCUAGUGCUAGGACAUUUGUUCUAGCUUUUCUCUAGCGUAGAUAACUAGAGGAAUAAGGGCUGGGUAAGACGGGUGCCAGCCGCCGCGGUAAUACCUGCAGCCCAAGUGGUGGUCGAUUUUAUUGAGUCUAAAGCGUUCGUAGCCGGUUUGAUAAAUCCUUGGGUAAAUCGGGAAGCUUAAUUUUCCGACUUCCGAGGAGACUGUCAAACUUGGGACCGGGAGAGGCUAGAGGUACUUCUGGGGUAGGGGUAAAAUCCUGUAAUCCUAGAAGGACCACCGGUGGCGAAGGCGUCUAGCUAGAACGGAUCCGACGGUGAGGGACGAAGCCCUGGGUCGCAAACGGGAUUAGAUACCCCGGUAGUCCAGGGUGUAAACGCUGCCGACUUGGUGUUGGAGGCCCUUCGGGGGCAUUCAGUGCCGGAGAGAAGUUGUUAAGUCGGCCACUUGGGGAGUACGUCCGCAAGGAUGAAACUUAA
Molecule: ribosomal RNA, 755 nt
Filed under: uncultured archaeon
Lineage: Archaea
Description: bacterial SSU rRNA
Rfam family: Archaeal small subunit ribosomal RNA
Source: RNAcentral